This 1002-nucleotide long non-coding RNA is filed under the name Canis lupus familiaris (dog). RNAcentral's name for it is "lncRNA (ENSCAFG00040020275.1)". The record is from RNAcentral. Lineage: Eukaryota; Metazoa; Chordata; Mammalia; Carnivora; Canidae.
UGACUGUCUGAGGCCCCUCCACUCAAGAGCUCACUAUCCUUAUGCUCUGAUCGGAUGACCCUUAAGCUCUGGGUCAGGCAGAGGGGGAGAAAAAUCUGUAGGGAAGAGAGAGGGCCUCUGGGACGUCCUGGAAUUCCAGGGCUUCCCUUGAAUCCCCAGAUGCAGUGCCGCUGGUUCCUAGAGUACAAGGAACUCUACAUGCUACCUGACUGGACUCCUCGAUCUGGGCAAAGGUGUGUCCAUGUCACCUUCCCGCGGAGCUCAGAUGUAGUACCAGUAUCGUUUCCAGCAAUCUCUCCAGCAGCCUCUGCCAAUCAUCUGCGGUUAGCAGGGCUUCCUUCUUAAAAUUGACUGCCUUAUAUUGAGGCCAUAUGGCAUAUUUUGCAGAAGUGAUGAUCUAUGGAAGCACUUGUGAAGAAGAGAGGGACACAUUGUGACUUGCAUUUGGGGGCAACCAUUCCCCAAAAAGGUGAGUGGAUUGGCGGGUGCUGAGCGAGGAUUAGUUAGAAGCCUGAAAUCUGGACCUCCCACUCCUACUAGGGCUCCCGCUGACAGGUCUUGGUGAGGGAGGUGCUGACUUUGGUACCUGUGAAUAGGAGAAUUUAAUUAGGACGCUGGGGUAUUGUUGAAAGGUUGGAUCAAUUCCCCCUCCCACCCCCUGAGGAGGUCUCCUGUCUUUAAUGUGAAAAGACAAUCUAGAAGGUACCUGCUGCUUUCGUACAACUGUCCGGGGACACCUCUCAAGGGUGUCCGGGGGCCGACGCUCUGCACGGAGCCUGGGGGUAGCACCACGCUGUCCUCCCACAGCACAUCCUGAUCUGUCAGGAGAUCCUGUGGGCUCUGCCUUCAGAACAUCCCCAGGGCUGAGCCACCACGGCUCUACCCCUGGGUAAUGGCAAGGGCCUCCUAAUUGGUCUCCCUGCUUUGCCCUUGCCCUGUGCAAUCCAGUCUCAACCCCACAGCCCAAGAGAUUUUUUAGAAAUUAAGUUGAAUCAUGUCACU